UGUUGUUGUUAUCUCUGCGUAGUACUUUUUUUUUUUUGUUGUUGUCAUGCUUUCUCCAAUAGUUUACUAGUUUUUAGUCAAUGGCUAGGGGAGUGCGUGGCGACGUUGGUGGUUUGGCAACCUUUUAACUCACAAUGUCCUGAUCUAGUGUAUGUCACAGACACCUCUCUAGUCUCCAACCAACUCACAAAAUCUCUUAAAACAGACUAUAAGGUUUCGUUUUUUUUUUUUUUUAGGGAAAUGAUAUCCAUUAAUGAGAUAGAUCUAUUAUCGAUCAAAUCGAUAUAUAGAUAGAUCAAUUAUCGAUUUGACAAAUCGAUUAUCAAUCCGACAAAUCGAUUAUCAAUCUGACCUAUAUAUGAACGGAUUGAUUAUUAAUCCGAAAGAUCGAUUAUCGAUCCAAUUUAUAUAUGGACAAAUCAUUAUCAAUCCGACAGAUCGAUUAUCGAUCCAACCUAUAUAUGAACAAAUUGAUUAUCGAUUCGAUCUAUAAAUGAAAAAAUAGGAGUAGAUUAUUUUAUUAAUUGAAAAAUUGAAGAGGAUUAAUAGUAAAAUUUUGGACAUGUAAUAACAGAAACUCUAGAAAAUCCCAAAAUUCAUUACCCCGAUUUCCAACAUAGAGACCCAAAAACCUUUGUGGAAAAUUUCUGAAAGCUCAAAUGCGGCUGCGACGGCGCCGCCGUAAGCACUCUCCUAAGGUGAUUCCUCCACCGUCCGUCGGCGCCGAAGUUCAGCGCCGCCGUAGAGUUCGGAAAACCCUAGACGAUGAUCGGAUCAGUCAGUUACCGGAUUCACUGCUCAUACAAAUUCUCUCUCUUUUGCCAACAGUUGAAGCAUCCCGAACUUCAAUUCUCUCUAAAAGGUGGAAGUAUCUUUGGACUUUUGCUUACAAUUUCGAUUUUGAAUUCCGCUCAGGUAGAGUAAAAGAUUUCGAAUCUUUUAUUGAUUAUGUAUUAGCUCAUUCCGUUGCUUCCAAAAUCGAAAAGCUUAGACUCUCUGGUGAAUUUCGUUACGGCGAGUCUAAUAUCAAUGGAUGGCUUAGUUUUGCGGUUGAAAGAAAUGUUGAACAUGUUGUAUUGCGGUCAUACGAUGAGCGGAUACUAUUCGGAAAUCUUGAAGAUUUCGAGUUAAGGCUUUUAGAUGUGUCGUCUUUGGUCGAUGCUAGUCUUACAUUCAGACAUAGGUGUGCUAAUUGGACCUGUUGUGAUUCUGGUGAUGAUGAGGAAGAGAGUCGUUGGAAUUAUCACCAAAUAUUUAUUAUUACGCUCGUUCAAGAGAAUUUUCAAAAGUUGAGUUGCGUAACUGAGCUGAACUCGGAGCUUGGUUUACUAAGGUUUGUAUUUAACUCUCUCUAAUUGAUUUUUGAGAUGAAGGGGGAGUCGUGGAGUAACUGGUAUAGUUGCUGCCAUGUGACCACGAGGUCACUGGUUCAAGCCUUGGAAAUAGCCUCUUGCAGAAAUGCAAGGUAAGGCUGCGUACAAUACACCCUUGUGGUGGGGCCCUUCCCUGGACACCGCGCAUAGCGAUAGCUUUAGUGCGCCGCACUGCCCCUUCAGAAACAAUCUCUCUAAUUCACAUCUGAGGCAGGGGCGGAUCUAGGGCCUCAGAGGGGGUUCCGGAACCCAGUAACUUUCGUACGGAUCUAGUAUUUAUAUAAAGAAAUCUGGUAAAUAUAUAAAAAUUAUAAGUUAGGAACCCAUAAACAAAUUGUAUUGUUGGUCUAGUGGAGCACAGGAACUAGUAAAAGUUUUACCACAACCUCUUGGUUGUGGGAUCAAAUCCCUUUAGCUACUAUUUAGUUUUAUUUUUGUCUAACAUGGGAACCCACAAACUUUAUAUCCUGGAUCCGCCUAUGAUCUGAGGUAGUGGUAUGGACUGCUUACACUUACCCUCCCAUUUGUGGGAAUAUUGGGUAUGUUGUUGCUGUAUAUUUUAUAAGUCAUCAAUCUUAGCUUCUAAUAUUUUGCCAACUCUUACCCCUUAAUAUAUUCAACUUUAAUUUAUCGGAGCAUCACAUCAGGGUAUACCGAUUUUAGUUGAUGAACCAACAAAGUUUGCUUAGCUGCUAUAAUUUCAUGUUGCAGGCCCUGUGCAUGAUGCAGCUCAAAGGGCUGUCUAUUCCAGAACUUAAAUGCAAAUGUCUAACGUUAGAGUUGGAUGACUAUUUUAAUUUGUUUGGAGCAACUGGUAUUUUGCGAGCCUUGCAUCAUGUGGAAACGCUCAACAUAGACAUUUUUAAUCCUUUUGGUAGGUCCUGGUGCGACUUUGAGUUAGAAUGUUCGGCCGAAGGAGAUAAUAUUGACUUGCAGAGUUGUAUUUCAAGCUUUGAGUUGCCCAACCUCAAGAAUGUUAAGAUUGUCCAAUCCUCUGCGUUGUGUUUGAGAUGCGAUUCAGCCACAAGAAGAACUUUCAACAAGGGCUUUGACACGCGUUUCGAACUUUUAGAACUUGUGUUAAAGAAUGCAACAAUUUUGGAGAAGCUUGUGAUGCCAGCCAUGAUAAAGUGCAGGAUAUGUUCAAACUUCUUCAUGUCCGAAUUUGUAUCUCGAAUGCCUAAGAUAGUAUUAGGUUGCCACUUGCCUAUGAGCCUCCUCGAAUGGUAUGAUUAUUCCAGAUUCCUGGACUAGACCGCAACUAGUUUUGUGUCCCGGGUUAUGAGAGAUGUCCCUUUUAUGCUGAGUUUUUGAUAAAUCUCUCAUGCAAUCUAUGAACCUCUAACUUCCUAUAUGUAAUUAUCACUAAAUUUUUGUGGUGUACCAACUGUUAUGGUAUCUUGGUUUCUCAAGUAAGUGGCAUUUUAUGUUUCAUUUUAGAUGUUGUACGUAUUCAUUGAGCCAAAUGAUAUGUUUUAUUUUGUUACUUUAAUUUGCCAGUAGCAUCAAGGUCUA
Capsicum annuum is the source of this 2888-nucleotide RNA transcript. It is a transcript of the gene named putative F-box/FBD/LRR-repeat protein At2g05300, with no coding region annotated. The transcript has 3 exons. NCBI's taxonomy places the organism in Eukaryota, Viridiplantae, Streptophyta, Magnoliopsida, Solanales, Solanaceae. The record is from RefSeq and is a predicted model, not a curated record.